RNAcentral lists this transfer RNA (69 nucleotides) under Ictidomys tridecemlineatus (thirteen-lined ground squirrel). RNAcentral describes it as "Spermophilus tridecemlineatus (thirteen-lined ground squirrel) tRNA". It matches the Rfam family "tRNA". From Rfam's summary of the family: Transfer RNA (tRNA) molecules are approximately 80 nucleotides in length. The record is from Rfam by way of RNAcentral. Lineage: Eukaryota; Metazoa; Chordata; Mammalia; Rodentia; Sciuridae.
GGGAUUGUGGCUCAGCGGUAGAGCGCUCGCCUUGCACGUGUGGGGCCCUGGGUUUGAUCCUCAAUACCA